GGGGAACCUGCGGCUGGAUCACCUCCUUUCUAAGGAAGCUGUGGAACUGGUAAGACGACCGGCUGGAUCUUCGGAUCUCCCCGGUAUGAACCUUCCCGUGCUUUUUAGAACAUAGAUGGCACCAGUCAGGUGACCAUCGAAACGUAAUACGCCGCGUAGACUUCGGUCACGACGGUAUGGCGAGCUUUCGCCGUCCACGUUUCUCUUUCUUCAAGAAGACAAAAAACCGUAUCGACCGGUUCCCCGAAUGGGCCCGUAGCUCAGUUGGUUAGAGCACACGCUUGAUAAGCGUGGGGUCGGAAGUUCAAGUCUUCCCGGGCCCACCAUUUGCUUGAUGCGAAUGAUGGUUUGGGAUGAUGGAAUGGCAGUUGAUGCGGAUUGUUGCCGAACCCGGGAUGUGUCCUGGGCGAUCGAGCUGAUGGGGCUGUAGCUCAGCUGGGAGAGCACCUGCUUUGCAAGCAGGGGGUCAGCGGUUCGAUCCCGCUCAGCUCCACCAAAUCGAUUGGUGUUGAGACUGACGGCAUUUGUCUUUUGAAGAAAUACAAGUUUUGCAUCGGCUUUGAGCCUGAUGCCUGUUCUGCAUAUAUCGUGAAGAGAAGAUUGAUCUGGAGGCUUCCAGGUGUUUUGGGUUCUGCCCAAAGCGUCCGAGCCCAGUUCCUGUGAACCCAUGGAUGGCCUAGCCGGCCGGAUGUGGUGGAGGGAUUGGAGGUAGGAAGGAAGCUUGUCGCUCUGGAUCGUUGUUGUUUGCAGUCUUCGGACUGCAUCUGACGGACGAUCGGAUUACCGUUGCCUGACCGCGCGGUAUCGGAUCCAAUCUCGAGAAGCUGGUCUUAAGACAGGCUGCAAGUGGGCUGCUCGGCGUAGCUCCAAUAAAGCAGACCUGUCGAACACGUCGAUGGCAUUGUUGGAUUGACUGGGUUGUAAAAGGUAACCCGGUCUGUUGCCGUUUCUUUGAAGCGGGCAACGAGAUGAUGAGCAUUGGCAAUGAGAACGAUUAAGUGUCGUAAGGGCAUUUGGUGGAUGCCUUGGCAUGCACAGGCGAUGAAGGACGUGAUACGCUGCGAAAAGCCGUGGGGAGCUGCGAAUGAGCUUUGAUCCAUGGAUCU
This 1106-nucleotide unclassified non-coding RNA is filed under the name Rhizobium sp. O312. Its description in RNAcentral is "partial miscellaneous RNA". The stretch from base 993 to 1106 matches the Rfam family "Bacterial large subunit ribosomal RNA", at positions 1 to 113 of the family's 2925-position model. The record is from RNAcentral. Lineage: Bacteria; Pseudomonadati; Pseudomonadota; Alphaproteobacteria; Hyphomicrobiales; Rhizobiaceae.